UACGUAGGGGGCAAGCGUUGUCCGGAAUCAUUGGGCGUAAAGAGCGUGUAGGCGGCCCGAUAAGUCCGCUGUGAAAGUCCAGGGCUCAACCCUGGGAUGCCGGUGGAUACUGUCGGGCUCGAGUCCGGAAGAGGAGUGUGGAAUUCCUGGUGGAGCGGUGAAAUGCGCAGAUAUCAGGAGGAACACCCGUAGCGAAGGCGGCACUCUGGGCCGAUACUGACACUGAGGAGCGAAAGCGUGGGGAGCGAACAGG
Molecule: ribosomal RNA, 253 nt
Filed under: uncultured bacterium
Lineage: Bacteria
Description: partial 16S ribosomal RNA
Rfam family: Bacterial small subunit ribosomal RNA
Source: RNAcentral